GGAGUGUCAAGCCAUCAGCACUGAUGUUCAGAGCAAAGCUGUGAAAACAAACUGCAGUAGAUUAGUUGGGCUGCUGACCAGGUUAUUUAGUUUUAACCACUUUGUGUGCCCUUACAUCUCAACCAAACAAUUACUCUUUUCCAUUCUUUUAUUUGUUCAUGCACUUAUCAAGGAAAACAGUGUUCACAAGGGGACAUUUUAUUGAAUAGAAUGAUUCAUUUAAGAAGUGUUUCUUUGACUCUAGAAUGCCAAUAUAUUCUGCUCUUUAAUUAAGAGAGCAAAUAACACAGGCAACAUACCAAAGUGCCUGUUAUCUGAAAUUACUUAAUUGUCUGAAAGAGAUAUUAAAGACAACUCUGGAAAUGAUGGAGCUUGAUUCUGCCAUUUGGAACAGUUGUUCUUAUAUUGGUAGCUAUGCUGUUUACAAUAAGGUCACCCAAGUAGUGAGUAUCAUUUCAUGAAAAUCAGUAUUGGAGUACAGCCUUUAAAAUUAAGAUAUAAAAAGAAGAGGCAAAUACUUCAAAGGCCCUUCUGGAGCAGAGCUGUAUUAGAUCACCCAAAUCCCAGGCUGCAGUGAAAAGACUGUGAAGCCCAUGUCUUUUAAAUGGUAAAUUUACUGAAUAUUAGAUGAUGCUCUGAAUUUCAGCUUUACCAUAACUCUCCUAGAGGAACUAACACAAAUGCAGCGAAGUCUGUCAAAGCUAGAAGCCUGCUCUGAGUGCUGUGGAUGGUGUCUGAGACACCACUGUGCAGAAGCAUUUCCCCCCUGUGCAAGAGAAGCCUUUUAUAUUGGAGACUUAUAUGUCAGUUGCUGGUAUGCAAGCACCAGGUCAGCUCAGCAAGUGUCAGUAGCGCUGGGAGUCAGUACAGAUGAGUGACCGGUGUUUUAACAUUAUGUCAAUUUGACCUGCUGUGAGCACAGACAUAUGCUAUUGAAAUUACAACACCGACAGACCAGCUCAAGUAGGGCUCUCCACACGUAAGAGCAACUGGAACUGAGUUACAAUCAGAAAAAAAACAGGAAUUUUCUGCUUGCUAGAACAGCUGUUCCGGGAUUCAACUUUCUGUAUCUACACUUCUCAGCUAUCCUUUGGAUGAGUAUUUCCUUUCCCCUUCUCCAUCCUAAUUUACUUUUCUUUUAGCACAGCUUUCAGUGAGAGACACUUGCCUUUUUCCUCUUCAUAAUAAAAAUGAUGUCCAAAAUAUCUGUUUAAAAACU
RNAcentral lists this long non-coding RNA (1219 nucleotides) under Numida meleagris (helmeted guineafowl). RNAcentral describes it as "lncRNA (ENSNMEG00000018643.1)". Lineage: Eukaryota; Metazoa; Chordata; Aves; Galliformes; Numididae. The record is from RNAcentral.